GGGGGACUUUACGGUCUACAUGCGCCCGCGUCAACAGUUGAGACAUACGAUCACCGUGUGCAGAUAGCAUCGGACUUUUAAUCCGCGGGUCGUGGGUUCGAGCCCCACGGGGCCCA
RNAcentral lists this transfer RNA (116 nucleotides) under Microbacterium esteraromaticum. RNAcentral describes it as "tRNA-Lys". Lineage: Bacteria; Bacillati; Actinomycetota; Actinomycetes; Micrococcales; Microbacteriaceae. The record is from RNAcentral.